CUCGUCUGUCGCUUUUGAAAUGCGGCAGGCUGUCGCCGGCUGGUGGAACGCCAAUGCUGUUCGCAGAAGAUGCAAAGCAACAAAGACAUCCGCGGCAUCCGAGGCACCUGCAGCUCGUGCGACCUCCUCGAGUUUUACGGGAAUGACAGUGGAGGUCUUCUGAUGCCAGGGUGGUGCCUGUAUUGCGGGCACUCUCCAACAACCCACGCUGCACUAGAUCUACUCUCUACACACUACGUGAUACUGUGCAACCAGUGGGGCAAAUUUCAUAUGGAGCACCUGAAAUCGUUCAUUCCGAAGAUGCUCUCCAUACGUUUGAGGAUGGACAAGUUCACAGUUAAGAUGUUAACAGGGAAGUGAG
Long non-coding RNA from Ornithodoros turicata, 361 nucleotides. RefSeq lists it as uncharacterized. Lineage: Eukaryota; Metazoa; Arthropoda; Arachnida; Ixodida; Argasidae. The transcript is spliced from 4 exons. The record is from RefSeq and is a predicted model, not a curated record.